This 271-nucleotide ribosomal RNA is filed under the name uncultured bacterium. RNAcentral's name for it is "partial 16S ribosomal RNA". It matches the Rfam family "Bacterial small subunit ribosomal RNA", at positions 524 to 794 of the family's 1533-position model. The record is from RNAcentral.
UACAGAGGGUGCAAACGUUGCUCGGAAUGAUUGGGCGUAAAGCGCGUGUAGGCGGUUUGGUAUGCCGGUUGUGAAAGCCCGUGGCUCAACCACGGAAGUGCAGUCGGAACUGCCAGACUAGAGUGCCAAAGAGGAUGGCGGAAUGCCCAGUGUAGAGGUGAAAUUCGUAGAUAUUGGGUAGAACACCGGUGGCGAAGGCGGCCAUCUGGGAGGUGACUGACGCUGAGACGCGAAAGCGUGGGGAGCAAACAGGAUUAGAUACCCCAGUAGU